UCGGCCUUUUAGCUAAUUAGCUAAAAUCAUGUCUAGUAUCUGUUCUUAUCAGUUUAAUAUCUGAUAUGUGGGUCAUCAUCGAUCCAUUAUGAUAUUAAAUUAAUUUUUCUUACGAAAU
RNAcentral lists this small nuclear RNA (118 nucleotides) under Musa acuminata subsp. malaccensis (wild Malaysian banana). RNAcentral's name for it is "U2 spliceosomal RNA". It matches the Rfam family "U2 spliceosomal RNA". From Rfam's summary of the family: U2 is a small nuclear RNA (snRNA) component of the spliceosome (involved in pre-mRNA splicing). Complementary binding between U2 snRNA (in an area lying towards the 5' end but 3' to hairpin I) and the branchpoint sequence (BPS) of the intron results the bulging out of an unpaired adenosine, on the BPS, which initiates a nucleophilic attack at the intronic 5' splice site, thus starting the first of two transesterification reactions that mediate splicing. Lineage: Eukaryota; Viridiplantae; Streptophyta; Magnoliopsida; Zingiberales; Musaceae. The record is from Rfam by way of RNAcentral.